AAACCAACAGGGAUUGCCCUAGUAACGGCGAGUGAAGCGGCAACAGCUCAAAUUUGAAAUCUGGCGCAAGCCCGAGUUGUAAUUUGUAGAGGAUGCUUCUGGGCAGCGGCCGGUCUAAGUUCCUUGGAACAGGUCGUCAUAGAGGGUGAGAACCCCGUAUGUGACCGGCGCGCACCCUCCACGUAGCUCCUUCGACGAGUCGAGUUGUUUGGGAAUGCAGCUCUAAAUGGGAGGUAAAUUUCUUCUAAAGCUAAAUACCGGCCAGAGACCGAUAGCGCACAAGUAGAGUGAUCGAAAGAUGAAAAGCACUUUGGAAAGAGAGUUAAAAAGCACGUGAAAUUGUUGAAAGGGAAGCGCUUGCAACCAGACUCCGCGGCGGUGUUCCGCCGGUCUUCUGACCGGUCUACUCGCCGCCGUGGGGCCAACAUCGUCUGGGGCCGCCGGAUAAGACCGUUGGAAUGUGGCUCCCUCGGGAGUGUUAUAGCCAGCGGUGAUGCGGCGCGUCUCGGGCGAGGUCCGCGCUUCGGCAAGGAUGUUGGCGUAAUGGUUGCCAGCGGC
This 558-nucleotide ribosomal RNA is filed under the name uncultured fungus. Its description in RNAcentral is "eukaryotic LSU rRNA". It matches the Rfam family "Eukaryotic large subunit ribosomal RNA", at positions 62 to 648 of the family's 3401-position model. The record is from RNAcentral. Lineage: Eukaryota; Fungi.